This is a long non-coding RNA of Carcharodon carcharias (great white shark), 1711 nucleotides long. RefSeq lists it as uncharacterized. Lineage: Eukaryota; Metazoa; Chordata; Chondrichthyes; Lamniformes; Lamnidae. The record is from RefSeq and is a predicted model, not a curated record. The transcript is spliced from 3 exons.
CAGCGGCUCAAGAAGGCAGCUCACCACCGCCUUCUCAAGGGCAACUAGGGUUGGGCAAUAAAUGCUGGGCCAGCCAGCGAAGCCCACAUCCCAUGAAUGAAUAAAAACAGUUAUGGGCACCAGCUGCUGCAAAGUGGUUUCCAGUAUCCACAGAAUUUUGCUUUUUCCAUUGGUUUACCACUUGCUGACUGGAAUAUAGCUUCCGCGCUUUAGUUUUGAAUCUAACUCCCCUUGGCACGCAGGUGCUGGUUCUGCUGUUCUGGACAAAGUGAGACAACUUGUCCUGGCACUGGGAAGUUUCAAAUUCUGGAAUGGGCAGGGUCCCAGUCACCAUUUUCUCGUCCAUCUCUCAACACGGUUUGUCUUCAAUUCCCGUCUCCCUCGCACAACGUGAUAUAUGGAUGGAGCAGUUGAAACAGCUUGGCCACGCCCCUCGUUAUGCUGUAAAAUGCCUUUAAGGGGCAGCAGCCUGCCAUCACUAGAAAGGAAGUGUGUCAUGUGAUCCAGUCUCAGUUUCACUUUUGCCUGUGAGCACAGCACACAGCUCUGCUACUGAUGUGUCUUCAAGCUUUCUAUCCUUGUGCGUGUGUUCUUAUGUGCCUAGUCUAAAGAAAUGGACCCACAACAUGUUUACCAAAUCCCUUAUGAAUGAUCAGUGCCUUUAUAUUACUGAUUCAUCAGCGGAGGGGGGCGAUACGUGGUAACCAGCAGGAGGUUUCCUUCCCCAUGUUUGACCCGAUGCCAUAAGACUUCAUGGGGUCCAGGGUUGAUGUUGAGGUCUCCCAGGGCAACUCCCACCCAACUGUAUACCAGUGAUUGGUGCCUUUGUAUCAUGAUAGAAACACAACAUGGUGUUCUGCAGUGGUCAAACAGCCUGGCAGCAAGAUUAGUUACAGGUACGAUAUGGUGAACAGCCUGAGGUCAUGCUACAUGGCAUGAGAUGACCCUCGGCGUUUUUGUCAGACUGCUACGAAGCAGAGAGUGUUGAAAUCGCAGCGUGGUGACUGUACAGCAGAGCUUUGAAGACACAGUGCCAGGAUAGUACUCAAGUAAAGAGCUGGUAAUCAGGUUGGUCCCUUGUGGUGAGAUUGCAGCGCCUAACCUGUCAGUUCUGUGAGUGGGACAAUGCAUCGAGAGGAACACCACCAGGUUAGCUCGUUCAGGACAGGCGAGUGACCAGGGUGUGGGCCGGAUCAAUAGCGAGGGAGGGAGAACCAAACAAAAAAAAGAACCAAAAGAAAGUCAUCAUAAAAACCGGUCCAGAGAAGGUUCGAUCAUAACGGAUGGAGCUUCAGAAAAAGUGAGUGGAAGCGGCUACAUCGACACUCAUCCCAGGCACUCCUAGGAGAAGGCAGGUCAAAGGAAUAUCGUCAAAAUGUCCAUGAAAUUUCCCAGUUUGAAUUCGGAUGCGUCUGCCCUACUAAUCAAAUUCAAAGUGUUUGAACAGCGCACAGAGCUACAGGGCAGAAAUUUCCGGUCGGCGUGCGAGGGUGGGCCCAACACGCCUACGUGUAAAAUGACUCGCAGUGAUGUCAGGGGUGUGUCCCAACGUCAUUGCGAUAUUUUGUUCGGUGGGAGCGCACCAGAGUUGGAUGCGUGCCCGCCAAAACGUAAACGGCCUAUUAAGGCCAUUAAGAAAUCAAUUGAGCCACUUGAGAACGCUACCCAUCCAACCUUAAAGUCUUUCGGGGAAACCCCAUCCACGAGCGGG